UAGGGAAUCUUCGGCAAUGGACGAAAGUCUGACCGAGCAACGCCGCGUGAGUGAAGAAGGUUUUCGGAUCGUAAAACUCUGUUGUUAGAGAAGAACAAGGACGUUAGUAACUGAACGUCCCCUGACGGUAUCUAACCAGAAAGCCACGGCUAACUACGUGCCAGCAGCCGCGGUAAUACGUAGGUGGCAAGCGUUGUCCGGAUUUAUUGGGCGUAAAGCGAGCGCAGGCGGUUUCUUAAGUCUGAUGUGAAAGCCCCCGGCUCAACCGGGGAGGGUCAUUGGAAACUGGGAGACUUGAGUGCAGAAGAGGAGAGUGGAAUUCCAUGUGUAGCGGUGAAAUGCGUAGGUAUAUGGUGGAACACCAGUGGCGAAGGUGGCUCUCUGGUCUGUAACUGACGCUGAGGCUCGAAAGCGUGGGGAGCAAACAGG
This 429-nucleotide ribosomal RNA is filed under the name Gemmatimonadota bacterium. RNAcentral describes it as "Gemmatimonadetes bacterium partial 16S ribosomal RNA". It matches the Rfam family "Bacterial small subunit ribosomal RNA", at positions 355 to 776 of the family's 1533-position model. The record is from RNAcentral. Lineage: Bacteria; Pseudomonadati; Gemmatimonadota.